GAGGGUGUAGCUCAGUGGUAGAGUGCACGCUUAGCAUGCAUGAGGUCCUGGGUUCAAUCCCCAGUACCUCCA
This 72-nucleotide transfer RNA is filed under the name Camelus bactrianus (Bactrian camel). It matches the Rfam family "tRNA". Rfam says of the family: Transfer RNA (tRNA) molecules are approximately 80 nucleotides in length. Their secondary structure includes four short double-helical elements and three loops (D, anti-codon, and T loops). Further hydrogen bonds mediate the characteristic L-shaped molecular structure. tRNAs have two regions of fundamental functional importance: the anti-codon, which is responsible for specific mRNA codon recognition, and the 3' end, to which the tRNAs corresponding amino acid is attached (by aminoacyl-tRNA synthetases). tRNAs cope with the degeneracy of the genetic code in two manners: having more than one tRNA (with a specific anti-codon) for a particular amino acid; and 'wobble' base-pairing, i.e. permitting non-standard base-pairing at the 3rd anti-codon position. The record is from Rfam by way of RNAcentral. Lineage: Eukaryota; Metazoa; Chordata; Mammalia; Artiodactyla; Camelidae. RNAcentral also lists the same sequence under 1 other name.